GACGGGGGUAGCAAGCGUUAUUCGGAAUCACUGGGCGUAAAGCGUCUGUAGGUGGUGAUGCAAGUCACUGGUGCAAAACUCUGGCUCAACCGGAGGAAAGCCAGUGAAACUGCAUGACUAGAGUGUGGGAGAGGUAGAAGGAAUUCCCUGAGUAGCGGUGUAACGCGUUGAUACAGGGAAGAACACCGGAGGCGAAAGUGUUCUACUGGAACACAACUGGCGCUGAGAGACGAAAGCUAGGGGAGCGAAUGGG
This 253-nucleotide ribosomal RNA is filed under the name uncultured bacterium. Its description in RNAcentral is "partial 16S ribosomal RNA". It matches the Rfam family "Bacterial small subunit ribosomal RNA", at positions 524 to 776 of the family's 1533-position model. The record is from RNAcentral.